AUUGAUACUAAGCCAUGCGAGUCAUUGUAGCAAUACAAGGCAUACGGCUCAGUAACGCGUAGUCAACCUAACCUAUGGACGGGGAUAACCUCGGGAAACUGAGAAUAAUACCCGAUAGAACAUUAUUCCUGGAAUGGUUUAUGUUUCAAAUAAUUUAUUGCCGUAGGAUGGGACUGCGGCCUAUCAGUUUGUUGGUGAGGUAAUGGCCCACCAAGACUAUUACAGGUACGGGCUCUGAGAGGAGUAGCCCGGAGAUGGGUACUGAGACACGGACCCAGGCCCUAGGGGGCGCAGCAGGCGAGAAAACUUUGCAAUGUGCGAAAGCACGACAAGGUUAAUCCGAGUGGUUUCUGCUAAAGGAACCUUUUGACAGUCAUAGAACCACUGUUGAAUAAGGGGUGGGCAAGUUUUGGUGUCAGCCGCCGCGGUAAAACCAGCACCUCAAGUGGUCAGGAUGAUUAUUGGGCCUAAAGCAUCCGUAGCCUGCUUUGUCAGUUUUCGGUUAAAUCCAUACGCUCAACGUAUGGGCCGCCGGGAAUACUACAAAGCUAGGGAGUGGGAGAGGUAGACGGUACUCGGUAGGAAGGGGUAAAAUCCUUUGAUUUAUUGAUGACCACCUGUGGCGAAGGCGGUUUACCAGAACACGUCCGACGGUGAGGGAUGAAAGCUGGGGGAGCAAACCGGAUUAGAUACCCGGGUAGUCCCAGCUGUAAACUAUGCAAACUCGGUGAUGCAUUGGCUUGAUGCCAAUGCAGUGCCGCAGGGAAGCCGUUAAGUUUGCCGCCUGGGAAGUACGUACGCAAGUAUGAAACUUAAAGGAAUUGGCGGGGGAGCACCACAAGGGGUGGAGCCUGCGGUUCAAUUGGAGUCAACGCC
This 876-nucleotide ribosomal RNA is filed under the name uncultured archaeon. RNAcentral describes it as "bacterial SSU rRNA". It matches the Rfam family "Archaeal small subunit ribosomal RNA", at positions 37 to 919 of the family's 1478-position model. The record is from RNAcentral.